Molecule: non-coding RNA, 19 nt
Filed under: Arabidopsis thaliana (thale cress)
Lineage: Eukaryota; Viridiplantae; Streptophyta; Magnoliopsida; Brassicales; Brassicaceae
Source: RNAcentral
ACCGAGUGCCGCUCACGCC